UCCCGCUGCUUUUCUAAGGGACCCUGGCCAUGUAUGGACCCAUUCGAGCAGCUGCUUGACCUGCAAUAAGGGAGUUUGUCCAUUGAGGAAUAUGUCACUCAGUUUUGCGGUCUGUCUUUUAAGGUACCUUUUAAUGAGAUCGUACUAAAAGACAUUUUUCGUUUCGGACUAAAUGAGCCCAUAAAAUCAAGGUUACCUGAGGGGAAGUUUAAUUGUCGUCUAAGGGACUUUACUGACUAUGCUUUGCUGUCUGCUGGCUCUUUGUUCACUGUGGGUUUUGCGGAAGAGGAACACAACACCGUGUCUGUGCCUGUAAUGGUGGACGCACCAGUUUACAUGCACAAAAUGGUGGCAGCAGCAGAUCCUGUUCACAAAAUGGCAGCCACGGCAAUGCUCAGUCAUGUCACUGCUGCCAUUCAUGAGUCAGGCCAUGUCAUCACUGAUCUUCACAAGUCAAAUCAGGUCACCACUGAUCUACACGAGUAAAGUCAAGUCACCGCUGACCUUCACGAGUCAAGUCAAGUCACCGCUGAUCUUCACGAGUCAAGUCAAUUUACCAUUAAUCUUCCUGAGUCCAGUCAAGUCACCGCUGAGCUUCCUGAGUCCAGUCAAGUGACGGCUGAACUUCCUGAGUCCAGUCACGUCUCAGCUGAACUUCCAGAGUCUCGUCACGUCUCAGCUGAACUUCCAGCGUCUCGCCACGUCUCAGCUGAACUUCCAGCGUCUCAUUACGUCUUGUCUGUUGCACCCAGAGCCUGGAGGUCAGAUCUUCAGUAUCCCAGUAUCCCAGACUGGCAUCAGUAAGAGCAGCUGGUAUCCCUAAACCAGUGCGCUCAACUCCUCCUGUGCAGAAACUGAUUCCCCAGUCUGAAGUGCUUCCCAUGAUGGGGAUUGUUUUAUGUUGCGUUUGGGCUGCGUACACCACCACUGAAUUUGUAGUAGACCUUUACAAACUUUCUUUAAUUGCAGGCUGAGCUGGAUGCUGAAUCGAAAGAGUGAGCCGUAACACUUAAGGUUUGUGCUGAGUUUCAUCAUAUCAGAGAAAGUGGCACACACCAGCAAGAUUUCACAGAUGUUGCAUGACAUUCUAAAUGUUUGAUCUUCAGGUGAGUGCAAAUUCAUGAACACUAACUACCUCCAUCACGGUCUUCACUGUAUAUAAAAUAAAGUUGGCCUGCUUGUUUAACAUGUUUAUUUUUAUUUUUUGUUUACAUGAUGUCAACCUGAAACGAGCCCUUCAUGCUCUCCAAGUGUACAUGUGUGAGGAGAACUGUUCUUCGGGACAUGAAAUGAGGAAUUGGGCGAGCCAGACAUCACUGACACAAACACCUCUCCUGCUGAUUUUGUUAUCAUGGACAACGAAACCACUACAAGUCCUGCAAGCAAUGCAGUUGUGAUGAGAUGACCUUCCAGUGUUUGAAAUUCA
Long non-coding RNA from Cyprinus carpio (common carp), 1426 nucleotides. RefSeq lists it as uncharacterized. Lineage: Eukaryota; Metazoa; Chordata; Actinopteri; Cypriniformes; Cyprinidae. The record is from RefSeq and is a predicted model, not a curated record. The transcript is spliced from 3 exons.